GGCAGCCUGGGGCUUGCAGUCCCCGGGCCGGGGCAGCCGCACCGCGCCCGGCAGCGAUGGCGAGGGCCGGGAGCGGGAGGCUGAUCCCGCGGGAUGGGAACGGGAAUCUCCUCGCUGCCUGCUGACCUGCUCUUGUGCAGAGCUUCUCCCCCCCACCCCAGACGGGAAAGCCUCUAUGGGUAUCCUGGGCCUGCUGAAGUCAGUGCCUUUGUCCUGAAGCUCCACACAUGAGAAGGUCUGGAGUGGCGGAUCCACCAACCCUUCGUGUGUGCCGGCACGUUUCUAUCCUGGCUCUCUCCUUCGAUGCCUUCCUCCUUCUCCUCCCCUCCA
Molecule: long non-coding RNA, 330 nt
Organism: Empidonax traillii (willow flycatcher)
Lineage: Eukaryota; Metazoa; Chordata; Aves; Passeriformes; Tyrannidae
Exons: 3
Source: RefSeq, a predicted model, not a curated record